GAUACGUGUGUUUCCUCUCCUUCCUGGGAGAGGCAUUUCUUCAUCCCACUAAGCUGUUGGCUUAAAUAUUCAUCAAGCCCUUUCCCACCAUCAGUAAAUAAGCUCCACAAACUCCUGCCACUGCUAAUGGAUCUCUCUGCCCCACUCUCUCCUCAUCCCUCCCGCUCUUCCGUUUACCUUGUCUUCCCAGAGAAUAACUGUGAUGGUAAAGGCUGUGAGUGACUCAGUUUCCAGUGCAUGCUUUCCGCCUCCCCUUUUGAAGAUGAACUUGAAGACACUAAGUCAGCUACAGGACCUUUCUGGCCCCUGAAAUAUCACCAUCAGAAAAGUCCAGGAUGGGACUCCGCCAGCGCACAGACAGAAGCAGCUGAAUCAGUGGGUGGUGGCGCCCAGGGAAAGGGUGGAUUCUUUACUACUGGCACCCCCUGGGAAGCCAGGAAUUCAUUGGGGGUUUUAAAUACCUGCUAAGUCACUUCAGUCGUGUCCGACUCUGUGUGACCCCAUAGAUGGCAGCCCACCAGGCUCCCCCUGUCCCCGGGAUUCUCCAGGUAAGAACACUGGAGUGGGUUGCCAUUUCCUUCUCCAUUUAAAUACCUAAUAUUCUAAUAUAAAUGGCUUUAGAAUGGGAUUGACCCCGG
Bos indicus x Bos taurus (hybrid cattle) is the source of this 638-nucleotide long non-coding RNA. Lineage: Eukaryota; Metazoa; Chordata; Mammalia; Artiodactyla; Bovidae. The record is from Ensembl.